RNAcentral lists this ribosomal RNA (246 nucleotides) under uncultured bacterium. RNAcentral describes it as "partial 16S ribosomal RNA". It matches the Rfam family "Bacterial small subunit ribosomal RNA", at positions 15 to 253 of the family's 1533-position model. The record is from RNAcentral.
GAUCCUGGCUCAGGAUGAACGCUAGCGACAGGCCUAACACAUGCAAGUCGAGAGGCAUCAGGUAUCAGCUUGCUGAUACGCUGGCGACCGGCGCACGGGUGAGUAACGCGUAUGGAAUCUGUCUGUAACAGGGGGAUAACCCGGAGAAAUUCGGACUAAUACCCCAUGCCGUCCGGUUUUUUGCAUGAAAGGCCGGCGAAAGGGUAACCGGUUACAGGUGAUCAUGCGUUCCAUUAGCUGGUUGGG